This 253-nucleotide ribosomal RNA is filed under the name uncultured bacterium. Its description in RNAcentral is "partial 16S ribosomal RNA". It matches the Rfam family "Bacterial small subunit ribosomal RNA", at positions 524 to 776 of the family's 1533-position model. The record is from RNAcentral.
UACGUAGGUGGCGAGCGUUGUCCGGAAUUACUGGGUGUAAAGGGCGUGUAGGCGGGAAUGUAAGUCAGAUGUGAAAUUCCGAGGCUCAACCUCGGCGCUGCAUCUGAAACUAUAUUUCUUGAGUGCUGGAGAGGAAAGCGGAAUUCCUAGUGUAGCGGUGAAAUGCGUAGAUAUUAGGAGGAACACCAGUGGCGAAGGCGGCUUUCUGGACAGUAACUGACGCUGAGGCGAGAAAGCGUGGGGAGCAAACAGG